Non-coding RNA from Cyprinodon tularosa, 594 nucleotides. The record is from the annotation of a RefSeq genome assembly. Lineage: Eukaryota; Metazoa; Chordata; Actinopteri; Cyprinodontiformes; Cyprinodontidae.
AUGGGCAUCAACAGUGUCAGCCCCUGCUCCCUAAAGGGGAGAUCAGAGGUUUUUGUACGACGGCUUCAUCAGUUUGUAUCACUGUGGUACACGUUUGGUGGAGGAACCAGACUGGAGCUUGGAAGUGAUGCUCGUCCCACCCUGACAGUGCUGCCCCCCUCCAGUGAGGAGCUGCAGCAGGGGAAGGCCACCCUCAUGUGUCUGGCCAACAAGGGCUUCCCCUCAGACUGGAGUCUGUCCUGGAAGGUGGACGGCAGCAGCAGCAGCAGCUGGGAGGAGAACAAGAGCCGAGGAGUGCUGCAGAAGGACGGCCUCUACAGCUGGAGCAGCACCCUGAGGCUCCCUGCAGACCAGUGGAGGAAGGUGGGCUCUGUGACCUGUGAGGCCACCCAGGGCUCCCAGUCUGCAGUCACAGAGACACUGAGGAGAGACCAGUGUUCCCAUUGACAACCUGACUUGUUUUUUUUUUACUCUGCUACUUUUUAAAGUGUUUUACGGCCAUGUUUAUUGUCUGUGAAAUGUGUAUCAGAUUUUAUUCUUGAACCUUCUAUUUCUUCUCAUGAUCCUCAAUUUUUUUCAACAUAAUAAAAAACA